Molecule: ribosomal RNA, 450 nt
Filed under: uncultured bacterium
Lineage: Bacteria
Description: partial 16S ribosomal RNA
Rfam family: Bacterial small subunit ribosomal RNA
Source: RNAcentral
GUGGGGAAUUUUGGACAAUGGGCGCAAGCCUGAUCCAGCAAUGCCGCGUGCAGGAAGAAGGCCUUCGGGUUGUAAACUGCUUUUGUACGGAACGAAACGGUCCUGGCUAAUACCCGGGGCUAAUGACGGUACCGUAAGAAUAAGCACCGGCUAACUACGUGCCAGCAGCCGCGGUAAUACGUAGGGUGCGAGCGUUAAUCGGAAUUACUGGGCGUAAAGCGUGCGCAGGCGGUGCUGUAAGACAGGCGUGAAAUCCCCGGGCUCAACCUGGGAAUUGCGCUUGUGACUGCAGUGCUGGAGUGCGGCAGAGGGGGAUGGAAUUCCGCGUGUAGCAGUGAAAUGCGUAGAUAUGCGGAGGAACACCGAUGGCGAAGGCAAUCCCCUGGGCCUGCACUGACGCUCAUGCACGAAAGCGUGGGGAGCAAACAGGAUUAGAAACCCUAGUAGUCC